GGCCCCAUCGUCUAGCCUGGUCAGGACGCCGCCCUUUCAAGGCGGUAGCACGGGUUCAAAUCCCGUUGGGGCUA
Molecule: transfer RNA, 74 nt
Filed under: Actinomycetota bacterium
Lineage: Bacteria; Bacillati; Actinomycetota
Description: Actinobacteria bacterium tRNA-Glu
Rfam family: tRNA
About the family: Transfer RNA (tRNA) molecules are approximately 80 nucleotides in length. Their secondary structure includes four short double-helical elements and three loops (D, anti-codon, and T loops).
Source: RNAcentral